AAGUCCUGUGUGAAGUUUACUGAUGGAGUCAGAGGGAGAAAGAUUGUACAGCCCAGCGGUUCACUCAGCCACUCCUGCAAAGACUCUGGAUCACCUUCACUGAUUGCAGCAUAAGCUUGGUCCAGCAGGCUCCAGGACCAGAGUUGGCGUGGGCAGCAACAGGGAGAAAUUCAAGAGGAAGUUCUUA
Molecule: non-coding RNA, 187 nt
Organism: Homo sapiens (human)
Lineage: Eukaryota; Metazoa; Chordata; Mammalia; Primates; Hominidae
Source: the annotation of a RefSeq genome assembly